Long non-coding RNA from Zingiber officinale, 663 nucleotides. RefSeq lists it as uncharacterized. The transcript is spliced from 3 exons. Lineage: Eukaryota; Viridiplantae; Streptophyta; Magnoliopsida; Zingiberales; Zingiberaceae. The record is from RefSeq and is a predicted model, not a curated record.
AUGCCCUAGCAAUUCCACCGCUGAUCCUCUACUCCUCAUGCGAACACCUCGCGACGCCUCCUCCCUUCCUUCGCCAAAACCCUUUCUCCCCUCUUCCCAUCGCCGGGCGUCUUCUCCUCUUCUCUCCUGAGCCGCGCCGCCGAGCUCUCCUUCUUUCCCCUCUCAUCUUUUCCGUAAGCUUGCUUCACCCAGUCGCCACGGCCGACGCCAGCGGACGAGAGCCACCCGAGCGCCAUCGAGGGUCAUCUCUCUGGUCUUCUUCCUCCUUCCUCCGUGUGCCUCUGCCCUAGUGCGAUCGUUGCCUUCUCAUUGUCGUCUCGAUCUCCUCUUCCCUCCCGAGCCAUACAUGGCCGCCUGACGCCGCCACCCUCUCCGACCACCGUCCAGUGUCGAGCCUUCCUCUCCUGAUGCCCUCAAUUUCUUCUCGCCUCACACUGUUGAUCCUCCCUUCGUUGAGUUCAACAGUCGCGUGACCUAAGCUCUGUCGGAGAGGGAAUUGCCAAUUUGGGAUUACAGGAGAAGUAGAGGAUAGUUGUAGAUUGCCGCUGUUGGUUGUAAGCCACUUCCAGUGCUACCUUGUUGCCAAAUUUGGGGAUUUGAGUUGGAUGUGAUCUUUUGGAUCUUGUUGAAGAUGGUUGACACGAGCUACGUAUAAAGGCGGGU